CGAGGAGGACGGACGGUCGCCGCUGUGUUUCGAUACAGGGGAGGAAAGUCCGAGCACCUCAAGAAUCAGAGUGCCUGCUAACGGCAGGGCGGGGUGACCCGACAGAAAGUGCAACAGAAAAAAAACCGCCACCGCGCAAGCGUUUGGUAAGGAUGAAACGGUGCGGUAAGAGCGCACCGCUCGGAUGGCGACAUUCGGGGCAAGGUAAACCUCACUCGGUGCAAGACCAAAUAGGGAAGUGAUGACCGGAUUCGGGUAGCUUCCGGGUUGGUUGCUUGAGCCUGUGAGCAAUUGCAGGCCUAGAUGGAUGACCGUCACUGGUUUCGCUUUAUUGCGGAGCUAGUACAGGACUCGGCUUACAGUCCGCCUCGCGGC
This 375-nucleotide RNase P RNA is filed under the name Dehalococcoidia bacterium. RNAcentral describes it as "RNase P RNA component class A". It matches the Rfam family "Bacterial RNase P class A". From Rfam's summary of the family: Ribonuclease P (RNase P) is a ubiquitous endoribonuclease, found in archaea, bacteria and eukarya as well as chloroplasts and mitochondria. Its best characterised activity is the generation of mature 5'-ends of tRNAs by cleaving the 5'-leader elements of precursor-tRNAs. The record is from RNAcentral. Lineage: Bacteria; Bacillati; Chloroflexota; Dehalococcoidia.